CUUUAAAACUCCUGACUUUGUUCCUUAAUUGGAAAUAAUUAUUAAUGAAAUUAAAGAAAUUAAUAUUUACUGCUGAGGUGCUCAGUUAUCUUUCUUGGUUACUCUUCGAUAGUAAGGAGAGUUUGGAUAUUUUUACCUUCACCAAAAUGGAUGUGAGUAUUUUCUAUCGUCUGGAUCAUACAAAACAGGACGCCCUGAAGCAAUAUGGAGUUUGUUAUCUGAAAAAUUAUCGAGAAAGAGUAAAUAUCUUGUGUUUAAAGUUAUUAUUUGCAUAGUAACUCUGUGAUUAAGCAUUAUUUACAAUGAAAAAAAUGGGGGAAAAGAUAUCCGAAGAGAAAAGGAAACGUAAAAUAAAGAAACCUCCAUCCAAUGAUCUAGAAAUUGGUAGAACUCUUGAAAAGAGCAGAAACGAGGUAACAAUCAUAGAACAUGUUACCGGUGCCUGUCCAAGAAUUCCAUAUUACAAGCGAAAAUAUAAAGAAGAGAGAAAGAGAGAGAGGCGGGGAGAUGGACAGACCACCAAAAGGAAAAACCAAUCACCAAAAGGAAAAACCAAUCACCAAAGGGAAAAACGAUCAUAGCCAAUCACCGAAAGGGAAAACGACCAGCCAAACAAGCAAGCAACCGAGCAACAAUCAACUUUACAAACCAUAUAAACGGCUGUAACCAAGCAAGCAACUAAUACACCAGCCAGCCAGCCAACCGACCAGCAUGCAAUAUAACUUAACUUUUUCACGUAACUGACUUCGUGAAAAAAAAACCUUGUAGUUCUCAGUCCAAGGUCUCUUCUUUCUAUGACAUUAGCACCACCACCACGAACACCAUCUGUCUGUCUGUCUCUCACACACACAUACAAACACGCAAUGACAGUUGCCACAAUUAUGACAAAUGACACUACUACUACUACUACUGCUACUGCUGCUACUGCUGCCAUAUUAUCAUACAGAGUAAGCCAUUGUUUUUACAACACUCCUUUAACAACAAUAUAAUCUAGUCAAGGCCAAGUUUAUGUACACACACAAACACACGUACACACGCACACAAACACACAUACAUGAAUAUACAUAGAUAUGUACCUACAUUCAUGUAUACCGACACACGCGCGCACCACACACACACACGCACGCACGCACACCUAUGUCAAGUCCAGAAAAUAUUAUUCCUGGGUCUGCUCAUCUUCCAACUGUAUAAGCCUCUUUACUUCUACUAUCAACAAUAAUACUACCGCUGCAGCCACUACCACCACUACCACCACCGUCGCUGCUACUGCCAACACCAACAUCAUCCACAAUUCCGACACGGAAGGGAGCAUCAAUACCGUACCAAACUGCUAGAAACUGCAUCCGAAACCGAGAUCACUCCUUCCCAAGUAACGUUGGUGCUAGUACCACUUCCAUCCACCAACUUCAACACAAACUACAAUGGUGGAUGGGUGGAGAAUAUCUGGUGUAAUGGGGCCUCUGAGUAGUAGUAGUAGUGGCGGUGGGGGUUUCAAAUUUUGGCACAAGGCCAGCAAUUUGGAGGGAGGGGUGGAGUAAGUUGAUUACAUUGACCCCCAGUGAUCAACUGGUACUUAUUUUAUCGACCCCCUUCCGCCCCCCCACUCCAACCCUCACCGAAAGGAUGAAAGGCAAAGUUGACGUCAGUGGAAUUUGAACUCAGAAUGUUAAGACGGAUGAAAUGUCACAAAACGAUUCUGCCGUAUUAUCACCUUAAUAAUAACACCUUUAAUCAAAGAUUAGCUCAGUCAGACGUGCCUUGAGGCUAACCCACAACAACAACAACAGUAUUAAUCAAUGAGGGAACCUCUACGUUGUCUUUGAAACAGCUAGAAAGAGCAGUCAAAUGCCUAUUACUGUCUUACAUUAAAAGGGAAGAUGCAUAGGGUUUAUUUAGUCUGAAAAAGAGAAGAUGGCCAUGGCUGGAUUGCCUUACAUUAAGUAAAUGAAUAAUGUUAACAAUUAUUUAUUUAAAUAAGCAGAAGGAAAAGAAAUUAAAGAAACAUUAAAAGAAAAAAGAAAAUAAUUUAAAUAAAAUUGAAAAAAUAUUAAAAGAAAAAAGAAAAUAAUUUAAAUAAAAUUGAAAAAAUAUUAAAAGAAAAAAGAAAAUAAUUUAAAUAAAAUUGAAAAAAAUAUUAAAAGAAAAAGAAAAUAAUUUAAAUAAAAUUGAAAAAAUAUUAAAAGAAAAAAGAAAAUAAUUUAAAUAAAAUUGAAAAAAAUAUCAAAAGAAAAAAGAAAAUAAUUCUUUUAAUGCAAAAAAAAUAAUAAAAUAAAAAUAAAAUAGGAUAUAGGCUUAGGUAUGGCUGUGUGGUAAGAAGCUUGCUUCCCAACCACAUGGUUCCAGGUUCAGUCCCAACGCAUGACACUAACAGCAAGUGUCUUCUACUACAGCCUCGGGCUGACCAAAACCUUUUGAGUGGAUCUGACAGAUGGAAACUGAAAGAAGCCUUUGUGUGUGUAUAUGUAGGUAUGUGUGUGUGUCAUUAUGUUCCCAUCACCACAUGGCAACCAGUGUUGGUUUGUGUAUGUCCCCAUAACUUAGUGGUUCAGCAAUAGAAAGUGACAGAAUAAGUACCAGCCUUAAAAAAGAAAGAAAAAAUAAACAGUGUGGGGAGAGGGGGGGCGAUCCAUUCAGCUAAAAUUCUUCAAGGCGGUGCUCCAGCAUGGCCACAGCCUAAAUGACUGAAGCAAGACAGAAGAUGACUGAAAUGAAAUUAUCAAAAUGUAUGAGGAAAAUAAAAUUGAGACAUGUAAAAUAUUGCCCUCCACAAUUAUUUUUCCCAUUAAAUUCCAACGUAAUCAUCACCAACACCAUCUGAAAGGGAUCUCUAGGAUCCCUUUCAUCUCAAAGGGAUCUGAAAGUUAUGAGGAAACAAACUCGUGGUGGGGGGAAGAAUGUUACAUCCCUGUAGUUGUGCCCAAUUGAUUGUAAUCAUGUGACUGACCAGGCUAUCAGAUGUUGUCGCAUAUUGCUGGACACAAUGCAUUUUUACACAUCGUUUUAGCCCUCAAAUGAUGCCACCCCACUGGCUAGGUGAGCAGGCCAGCCCCACCACCACCACAGAUCGAACAGGGGACUGGAGGAAUGUGAAAUGAAGGGCUUUGUUCAAGAACACAAUGCACUACCCAUUCAGGGAAUUGAACCCACAGUCUAGCAAUCCCAGCCUAACCACUAGGCUAUGUGCCUAGUACUAGGCUGCCCAAUGAAUAUGAAAGGAUAUUAGGAUCAACAUAAUUUGGUUGAUGCUGGAUUAAGAUUAUAAUUUGUGGAAAGUAGCAUUACAAAUAUUUAGACAACCUUUAUAAUUUCUAGAACUAUAAACAAAUGCUAAACUACCCCACAGUAAAGCGAAGUGUUGCAGUGAUUAAGAUUCAUGUCCUUAAAAUAUUCAGUAUUAAAAGAAGCAGCAAAACUGCAUGUUGAUAAAAAUAUAUUAAAACAGGGAUUGAUAAAAAUAUUCCACACAGUUUAGUCAUUAACAAUUGCUUUCUUUUUAGUAAAAGUAACACAAGUCCAUCUAAAUAAGCAGUUUUUCCAAUUAUAUAUGCAUAAACAUGCAUAUGUUUCCAUAUAUAUACAUAAACAUGCAUAUAUAUGUAACUAUGUAUAUAUGUAAAGGUACAUGUGUGUAUAUAUAUAUAUGUAAACUUGUGAGUAUAGAAAAACAGACACACAUGAGCACAUGUGUGUGUGUGUAUAGAUAAAUCUAAGUAACAAGCGAUGCCUUCAUUCAUAACCUGAUCAAUUAUCAAUAGUCAAAAAAAGGGAGGGAAAAAUAAAAGGAAAAAAAAUAAUUCCUAUCAAAUCAAACCAAACAGAGAAUACCAAAAGAAAAUCAAGAAGCAAGUCUGAUUGAAACUUGCCAAAAAUAAUAAAACCAAUGAAACUAAUAAAUAAACAAAUGAAUGAAUAUAUAGAUAAUUAAAAAAUUACAUAUGAGAUAAAUAUAAAAAAAUAACAAAGAAAAGCCAAACAAUGAUUAUAAUUGCCUAAAAACACAUCAAUUAUAAUUAUGAACUAAUUGACUUAGUGUCAAAUGUUGAUUUUGGACACACACACACACACACACACAUAUAUAUAUAUAUACAAACACGCACACAUACACACAUUUAUGAAGAAACAACAAUAACAACAGGUGCUCUAAUUAUCUCAGGAACCUAUAGAAAGUAUCGUUACUUAUUCAAGAAUUGUGAGGUAAAAACGUACAGCAGUUUGAAUGUGUUUGUAUUAGAUAUGUAUGUGUGUGUGAGUGUUUGCAUGCAUCUAUAUAUAUAUAGACAUAUAUAUAUAUAUAUAUAUAUAUAUACACACACACACAGUCACAUAUCACACAUAUACACACACACACAUGGCAAUGAAUGGCAAUAAAAAAUCAAUUAUUGAUAGAUAAAAGAUAUUUUCUCAUUGUUAGCAAAUAUAAUUUUAAUGAUUGAUAUAGAAUUAUAUUCAAAUUAAAUAAUAUGAAACUAAAAAUCUAAGUGUAUAGACACACAUAUAAAUGUGUAUGUAUGUGUACACACAUACAGACAUUUACUAUAAUUUAUCUGCUCGCUAGAAAUAGCAGCCAAAACUCCUUCGAGUCACACCCUACUAACAGAUUCAAACUAAGGAUAUACUGGACAAUGAUAUACAAUAAAUAAAUAAAUAAAAUGAUUAGGUUGUAUUUGAAAAGGCUUUAGUCAUUAAUCAGCUCAUUCAAAGGUACAAGGCAGUAAACAGCACACACAUACAUACACACGCAAGUGCAAGUGUAGCUGUGUGGGAAGAAGUUUGGGUUCAGUUCCAAUGCAUGGCACCUCGGGCAAGUGUUUUCUAUUAUAGCCCUGGGCCAAACAGAACCUUGUGAGUGGAUUUCGUAGAAUAGAACUGAAGAAAGCCCAUUGUACAUGUGUAUAAAAGGGUCAAGACCCUAUCCAGUCAUGAGUUAUCAUGGAAAUGCACCUAAAAAGUUACCCCAUGAGAUGCUAGUCCGGGCAAGAGGAUUUAUGGAAGACCAGCAGUCGCCCAUGCAUACCAGACUCCCCCUCUCACGCCACCGAUGUUAUCCAAGGGAAAGGCAAAGGGGCCAAUACAUCUUGGCACCAGUGACGUCGCAACUCAUCUCUACAGCAGAGUGAACUUGAACAACAUGAAAUAAAAUGUCUUGCUCAAAAACACAGCACACAGCCCAGUCUGGGAAUCGAACUCACUAUCUCAUGAUUGUGAGC
RNA transcript from Octopus bimaculoides (California two-spot octopus), 5207 nucleotides. RefSeq lists it as uncharacterized. NCBI's taxonomy places the organism in Eukaryota, Metazoa, Mollusca, Cephalopoda, Octopoda, Octopodidae. The record is from RefSeq and is a predicted model, not a curated record.